RNAcentral lists this long non-coding RNA (1124 nucleotides) under Chrysolophus pictus (golden pheasant). RNAcentral's name for it is "lncRNA (ENSCPIG00010007680.1)". The record is from RNAcentral. Lineage: Eukaryota; Metazoa; Chordata; Aves; Galliformes; Phasianidae.
ACCGCCCCUCGUUCGUGAGUGCAGAAAAGCGAACGGUAGUAAGCUACAAAGCAAGCCCCUGCGUUCUGUUAAUCACAUCGCACAGCAAAAAUAAUGAAGUGAAGUACAGCGGGGAUGCCGCAGGCCUCCUGCGAGUGACACUGCCCGGCCACAGCAAGCAGGCAGACAUCCAUCCAACAAUUCCUCCCAGAAAGAAGUGUCCCCAUCACUAUCAUUUCCUUUCGGCGGUGGUAACGAUACCGUCAGAUAGAGGGAACUGCCCCGAUGGGCAGCAAAACCCCCUGUGGAGGGCUGCAGGGACAGAGCCGGCCGUGUUCUGCGGCGCUGCCCGCGGGCACCUCGGAGUGCGGAGCAGCGAGAACGGAAAGCUUCGCUGCGAAUCUCACCUGAGCUUCCCCAGCCGGGGCACGUCGGGCCGCUCACCUCUCCUUCACAUUCUGGAUCAAAUCCUUCCCGUCUUGAUCCAGCGAAGAUAUCAUUAUUUAAAAUAAUCCUGUGAUAGACGUGAACACGGCGUAACUUAUCUUGACAGCACACCUAGAACACAAAUCGGUGCCAGGAAUGAACUGGCUCCGGUCCAGUUUCCAAACCUCGCCUUUCAGACCUCGUUACAGUUACUCUCUAGUAAUGCGGGGGUGGAUUUGUUUGUAGCUCAGCCCGGGCUGCCACGGGCACCGCACCAUUCCCGGUACCGACGGCAGCGCCGUGAGGGCAGCGCUGGUCGGACGGCUGUGAGCGGGGCAAUAAGAAACUUCUCGGGAAACCUCGCCAGCUUAAACUAAAGCAGGUAAAGCGUGACAUCCAGCUUUUCUGACCCUCUGCCUUUCCAUCCCGAGCGGUGUUUUAGUACGGCUUGCAUCCACCUCGAAGCUCUGCGUAGUUUUGCGGCUACCGUGGGACACCGGACGCGUCCCGAAGGCGCCCAGCGGCGCUCCCGGGGCGGCUCACAGCCCUGCCGUCCCGCUGCGCCGCGUCCCCUCGCUCUCCCCCCACACCGCUCUCCUUCCCCGCGCUUCGCUCUGCUGUUUGCCAUCGAGCAGAGUCUGAAAAUGGUCGGGCUCUCGCCUGUUUCUCGCGAACAGAAAAACAAUAAAGGAUUCUCUCUCCUAAAGCUGGGGAAGGAG